GAGACUUGAUUUGAUGACACAUCAAAUCAGAGUUCUGGUUUUUAUCAGAACUAACACGCCAACUCCUCAAUUUUUUUGAGGAUGAAGAUAUAGUCCACACUAUUAGUGAUAAUAGAUUAUGUACGAUGUCGGCUCACCAUAGCGCGGGGGUGGAGAAGCUCCCAAGCGUUUGGCUGUUCGCCAAUUAAAAUGGUACGCGAGCUGGGUUUAGACCGUCGUGAGACAGGUUGGUCUCUAUCUGCUGCAGGCGUUGAUGCUUGAGGGAAGUUGGCCCUAGUA
Molecule: self-splicing intron, 279 nt
Filed under: Parcubacteria group bacterium GW2011_GWB1_43_8b
Lineage: Bacteria
Rfam family: Bacterial large subunit ribosomal RNA
Source: RNAcentral